GUGGGGAAUUUUGGACAAUGGGCGAAAGCCUGAUCCAGCAAUGCCGCGUGUGUGAAGAAGGCCUUCGGGUUGUAAAGCACUUUUGGCAGGGAAGAAACAGUGCGUGCUAAUACCAUGCGCGAAUGACGGUACCUGCAGAAUAAGCACCGGCUAACUACGUGCCAGCAGCCGCGGUAAUACGUAGGGUGCAAGCGUUAAUCGGAAUUACUGGGCGUAAAGCGUGCGCAGGCGGCUUUGUAAGACGGAUGUGAAAGCCCCGGGCUCAACCUGGGAAGUGCAUUCGUGACUGCAAGGCUAGAGUGUGUCAGAGGGAGGUGGAAUUCCGCGUGUAGCAGUGAAAUGCGUAGAGAGGCGGAGGAACACCGAUGGCGAAGGCAGCCUCCUGGGAUAACACUGACGCUCAGGCACGAAAGCGUGGGGAGCAAACAGGAUUAGAAACCCCUGUAGUCC
RNAcentral lists this ribosomal RNA (450 nucleotides) under uncultured bacterium. RNAcentral describes it as "partial 16S ribosomal RNA". It matches the Rfam family "Bacterial small subunit ribosomal RNA", at positions 354 to 796 of the family's 1533-position model. The record is from RNAcentral.